This 477-nucleotide ribosomal RNA is filed under the name uncultured bacterium. RNAcentral's name for it is "partial 16S ribosomal RNA". It matches the Rfam family "Bacterial small subunit ribosomal RNA", at positions 28 to 507 of the family's 1533-position model. The record is from RNAcentral.
GAUUAACGCUGGCGGCGUGCAUAACACAUGCAAGUCGAACGAUGAAACUUUAAUGAACCCUUCGGGGAGAAUUAAAGCGGAUUAGUGGCGAACGGGUGAGUAACGCGUGAGUAACCUGCCUUACACAAGGGGAUAGCCUUUGGAAACGAAGAAUAAUACCCUAUAAAACCAUAAAAUCACAUGCAAUGAUGGUCAAAGUGAUAGCGGUGUAAGAUGGACUUGCGUCUGAUUAGCUAGUUGGUGAGAUAAAAGCCCACCAAGGCAACGAUCAGUAGCCGGCUUGAGAGAGUGUACGGCCACAUUGGGACUGAGACACGGCCCAGACUCCUACGGGAGGCAGCAGUGGGGAAUUUUGCACAAUGGGGGAAACCCUGAUGCAGCGACGCCGCGUGAUUUAGAAGGCCUUCGGGUUGUAAAAAUCUUUUGUAUAGGAAGAAAAUGACAGUACUAUACGAAUAAGGUCCGGCUAAUUACGUG